This 679-nucleotide ribosomal RNA is filed under the name uncultured bacterium. Its description in RNAcentral is "bacterial SSU rRNA". It matches the Rfam family "Bacterial small subunit ribosomal RNA", at positions 20 to 692 of the family's 1533-position model. The record is from RNAcentral.
UGGCUCAGAUUGAACGCUGGCGGAAUGCUUUACACAUGCAAGUCGAACGGCAGCACGGGAGCUUGCUCCUGGUGGCGAGUGGCGAACGGGUGAGUAAUAUAUCGGAACGUAUCCAAUAAUGGGGGAUAACUAAUCGAAAGGUUGGCUAAUACCGCAUACGCCCUGAGGGGGAAAGCUGGGGAUCUUCGGACCUAGCGUUAAUGGAGCGGCCGAUAUCUGAUUAGCUAGUUGGUGGGGUAAAGGCCCACCAAGGCGACGAUCAGUAGCUGGUCUGAGAGGACGACCAGCCACACUGGAACUGAGACACGGUCCAGACUCCUACGGGAGGCAGCAGUGGGGAAUUUUGGACAAUGGGCGCAAGCCUGAUCCAGCCAUUCCGCGUGAGUGAAGAAGGCCUUCGGGUUGUAAAGCUCUUUCGCAAGGGAAGAAACGAUUUAGGUGAAUAAUCUAAGUUAAUGACGGUACCUUGAUAAGAAGCACCGGCUAACUACGUGCCAGCAGCCGCGGUAAUACGUAGGGUGCGAGCGUUAAUCGGAAUUACUGGGCGUAAAGCGUGCGCAGGCUGUUUUGUAAGUCAGAUGUGAAAUCCCCGAGCUCAACUUGGGAACUGCGUUUGAAACUACAAGACUAGAAUAGGUCAGAGGGGGGUAGAAUUCCACGUGUAGCAGUGAAAUGCGUA